GGGAAUCUUAAGCAUAUCAAUAAGCGGAGGAAAAGAAACUAACAAGGAUUCCCCUAGUAACUGCGAGUGAAGCGGGAAAAGCUCAAAUUUAAAAUCUGGCAGUCUUUGGCUGUCCGAGUUGUAAUCUGGAGAAGUGCUUUCUGCGCUGGACCGUGUACAAGUCUCUUGGAAUAGAGCGUCAUAGAGGGUGAGAAUCCCGUCUUUGACACGGACUACCAGUGCUUUGUGAUGUGCUUUCAAAGAGUCGAGUUGUUUGGGAAUGCAGCUCAAAAUGGGUGGUAAAUUCCAUCUAAAGCUAAAUAUUGGCGAGAGACCGAUAGCGAACAAGUACCGUGAGGGAAAGAUGAAAAGCACUUUGGAAAGAGAGUUAAACAGUACGUGAAAUUGCUGAAAGGGAAACACUUGAAGUCAGUCGCGUUGUUCAGAACUCAGCCUGGCCUUGGCUUGGUGCAUUUUCUGAAUGACGGGCCAGCAUCAAUUUUGACUGUUGGAUAAAGGCCAGAGAAAUGUGGCUCCUUUGGGAGUGUUAUAGUCUCUGGUUGCAUACAAUGGUUGGGAUUGAGGAACUCAGCAUGCCUUUACGGUCGGGGUUCGCCCACGUUCAUGCUUAGGAUGCUGGCGUAAUGGCUUUAAAUGACCCGUCUUGAAACACGGACCAAGGAGUCUAACAUGCCUGCGAGUAUUUGGGUGGAAAACCCGAGUGCGCAAUGAAAGUGAAAGUUGGGAUCUCUGUCGUGGGGAGCACCGACGCCCGGACCAGACCUUCUGUGACGGAUCCGCGGUAGAGCAUGUAUGUUGGGACCCGAAAGAUGGUGAACUAUGCCUGAAUAGGGUGAAGCCAGAGGAAACUCUGGUGGAGGCUCGUAGCGAUUCUGACGUGCAAAUCGAUCGUCAAAUUUGGGUAUAGGGGCGAAAGACUAAUCGAACCCUUUUGCCC
This 937-nucleotide ribosomal RNA is filed under the name Physisporinus sp. CGW-2022f. RNAcentral's name for it is "partial large subunit ribosomal RNA". It matches the Rfam family "Eukaryotic large subunit ribosomal RNA", at positions 27 to 950 of the family's 3401-position model. The record is from RNAcentral. Lineage: Eukaryota; Fungi; Basidiomycota; Agaricomycetes; Polyporales; Meripilaceae.